CAGCCGCCGCGGUAAUACGAAGGGGGCUAGCGUUGUUCGGAUUUACUGGGCGUAAAGGGCGCGUAGGCGGACUGAUAAGUCAGGGGUGAAAUCCCAAGGCUCAACCUUGGAACUGCCUUUGAUACUGUUUGUCUUGAGUUCGAGAGAGGUAAGUGGAACUGCGAGUGUAGAGGUGAAAUUCGUAGAUAUUCGGAAGAACACUAGUGGCGAAGGCGACUCACUGGCCCGUUACUGACGCUGAGGCGCGAAAGCGUGGGGAGCAAACAGGAUUAGAUACCCGGGUAGUCCCUGUCUCUUAUAA
RNAcentral lists this ribosomal RNA (301 nucleotides) under uncultured bacterium. RNAcentral's name for it is "partial 16S ribosomal RNA". It matches the Rfam family "Bacterial small subunit ribosomal RNA", at positions 509 to 809 of the family's 1533-position model. The record is from RNAcentral.